Oncorhynchus tshawytscha (Chinook salmon) is the source of this 307-nucleotide long non-coding RNA. Lineage: Eukaryota; Metazoa; Chordata; Actinopteri; Salmoniformes; Salmonidae. The record is from Ensembl.
GUUAAAUAAAGGUGUUCUCAACUAGCCUACCUGGUUAAAUAAAGGUGUUCUCAACUAGCCUACCCGGUUAAAUAAAGGUGUUCUCAACUAGUCCUACCUGGUUAAAUAAAGGUGUUCUCAACUAGCCUACCUGGUUAAAUAAAGGUUUUCUCAACUAGCCUACCUGGUUAAAUAAAGGUUUUCUCAACUAGCCUACCUGGUUAAAUAAAGGUGUUCUCAACUAGUCCUACCUGGUUAAAUAAAGGUGUUCUCAACUAGUCCUACCUGGUUAAAUAAAGUUGUUCUCAACUAGUCCUACGUUGGUUAA